Molecule: ribosomal RNA, 2921 nt
Filed under: Staphylococcus aureus
Lineage: Bacteria; Bacillati; Bacillota; Bacilli; Caryophanales; Staphylococcaceae
Description: bacterial LSU rRNA
Rfam family: Bacterial large subunit ribosomal RNA
Source: RNAcentral
UUAAGUUAUUAAGGGCGCACGGUGGAUGCCUUGGCACUAGAAGCCGAUGAAGGACGUUACUAACGACGAUAUGCUUUGGGGAGCUGUAAGUAAGCUUUGAUCCAGAGAUUUCCGAAUGGGGAAACCCAACAUGAGUUAUGUCAUGUUAUCGAUAUGUGAAUACAUAGCAUAUCAGAAGGCACACCCGGAGAACUGAAACAUCUUAGUACCCGGAGGAAGAGAAAGAAAAUUCGAUUCCCUUAGUAGCGGCGAGCGAAACGGGAAGAGCCCAAACCAACAAGCUUGCUUGUUGGGGUUGUAGGACACUCUAUACGGAGUUACAAAGGACGACAUUAGACGAAUCAUCUGGAAAGAUGAAUCAAAGAAGGUAAUAAUCCUGUAGUCGAAAAUGUUGUCUCUCUUGAGUGGAUCCUGAGUACGACGGAGCACGUGAAAUUCCGUCGGAAUCUGGGAGGACCAUCUCCUAAGGCUAAAUACUCUCUAGUGACCGAUAGUGAACCAGUACCGUGAGGGAAAGGUGAAAAGCACCCCGGAAGGGGAGUGAAAUAGAACCUGAAACCGUGUGCUUACAAGUAGUCAGAGCCCGUUAAUGGGUGAUGGCGUGCCUUUUGUAGAAUGAACCGGCGAGUUACGAUUUGAUGCAAGGUUAAGCAGUAAAUGUGGAGCCGUAGCGAAAGCGAGUCUGAAUAGGGCGUUUAGUAUUUGGUCGUAGACCCGAAACCAGGUGAUCUACCCUUGGUCAGGUUGAAGUUCAGGUAACACUGAAUGGAGGACCGAACCGACUUACGUUGAAAAGUGAGCGGAUGAACUGAGGGUAGCGGAGAAAUUCCAAUCGAACCUGGAGAUAGCUGGUUCUCUCCGAAAUAGCUUUAGGGCUAGCCUCAAGUGAUGAUUAUUGGAGGUAGAGCACUGUUUGGACGAGGGGCCCCUCUCGGGUUACCGAAUUCAGACAAACUCCGAAUGCCAAUUAAUUUAACUUGGGAGUCAGAACAUGGGUGAUAAGGUCCGUGUUCGAAAGGGAAACAGCCCAGACCACCAGCUAAGGUCCCAAAAUAUAUGUUAAGUGGAAAAGGAUGUGGCGUUGCCCAGACAACUAGGAUGUUGGCUUAGAAGCAGCCAUCAUUUAAAGAGUGCGUAAUAGCUCACUAGUCGAGUGACACUGCGCCGAAAAUGUACCGGGGCUAAACAUAUUACCGAAGCUGUGGAUUGUCCUUUGGACAAUGGUAGGAGAGCGUUCUAAGGGCGUUGAAGCAUGAUCGUAAGGACAUGUGGAGCGCUUAGAAGUGAGAAUGCCGGUGUGAGUAGCGAAAGACGGGUGAGAAUCCCGUCCACCGAUUGACUAAGGUUUCCAGAGGAAGGCUCGUCCGCUCUGGGUUAGUCGGGUCCUAAGCUGAGGCCGACAGGCGUAGGCGAUGGAUAACAGGUUGAUAUUCCUGUACCACCUAUAAUCGUUUUAAUCGAUGGGGGGACGCAGUAGGAUAGGCGAAGCGUGCGAUUGGAUUGCACGUCUAAGCAGUAAGGCUGAGUAUUAGGCAAAUCCGGUACUCGUUAAGGCUGAGCUGUGAUGGGGAGAAGACAUUGUGUCUUCGAGUCGUUGAUUUCACACUGCCGAGAAAAGCCUCUAGAUAGAAAAUAGGUGCCCGUACCGCAAACCGACACAGGUAGUCAAGAUGAGAAUUCUAAGGUGAGCGAGCGAACUCUCGUUAAGGAACUCGGCAAAAUGACCCCGUAACUUCGGGAGAAGGGGUGCUCUUUAGGGUUAACGCCCAGAAGAGCCGCAGUGAAUAGGCCCAAGCGACUGUUUAUCAAAAACACAGGUCUCUGCUAAACCGUAAGGUGAUGUAUAGGGGCUGACGCCUGCCCGGUGCUGGAAGGCUAAGAGGAGUGGUUAGCUUCUGCGAAGCUACGAAUCGAAGCCCCAGUAAACGGCGGCCGUAACUAUAACGGUCCUAAGGUAGCGAAAUUCCUUGUCGGGUAAGUUCCGACCCGCACGAAAGGCGUAACGAUUUGGGCACUGUCUCAACGAGAGACUCGGUGAAAUCAUAGUACCUGUGAAGAUGCAGGUUACCCGCGACAGGACGGAAAGACCCCGUGGAGCUUUACUGUAGCCUGAUAUUGAAAUUCGGCACAGCUUGUACAGGAUAGGUAGGAGCCUUUGAAACGUGAGCGCUAGCUUACGUGGAGGCGCUGGUGGGAUACUACCCUAGCUGUGUUGGCUUUCUAACCCGCACCACUUAUCGUGGUGGGAGACAGUGUCAGGCGGGCAGUUUGACUGGGGCGGUCGCCUCCUAAAAGGUAACGGAGGCGCUCAAAGGUUCCCUCAGAAUGGUUGGAAAUCAUUCAUAGAGUGUAAAGGCAUAAGGGAGCUUGACUGCGAGACCUACAAGUCGAGCAGGGUCGAAAGACGGACUUAGUGAUCCGGUGGUUCCGCAUGGAAGGGCCAUCGCUCAACGGAUAAAAGCUACCCCGGGGAUAACAGGCUUAUCUCCCCCAAGAGUUCACAUCGACGGGGAGGUUUGGCACCUCGAUGUCGGCUCAUCGCAUCCUGGGGCUGUAGUCGGUCCCAAGGGUUGGGCUGUUCGCCCAUUAAAGCGGUACGCGAGCUGGGUUCAGAACGUCGUGAGACAGUUCGGUCCCUAUCCGUCGUGGGCGUAGGAAAUUUGAGAGGAGCUGUCCUUAGUACGAGAGGACCGGGAUGGACAUACCUCUGGUGUACCAGUUGUCGUGCCAACGGCAUAGCUGGGUAGCUAUGUGUGGACGGGAUAAGUGCUGAAAGCAUCUAAGCAUGAAGCCCCCCUCAAGAUGAGAUUUCCCAACUUCGGUUAUAAGAUCCCUCAAAGAUGAUGAGGUUAAUAGGUUCGAGGUGGAAGCAUGGUGACAUGUGGAGCUGACGAAUACUAAUCGAUCGAAGACUUAAUCAA